Molecule: long non-coding RNA, 1712 nt
Filed under: Vitis vinifera (wine grape)
Lineage: Eukaryota; Viridiplantae; Streptophyta; Magnoliopsida; Vitales; Vitaceae
Description: long non-coding RNA (VVIN_LNC003638)
Source: RNAcentral
GUCUUAGAAAAAGUGAUUAAAAAACAAACAAACUUAAUACCUAACACUACUAAGUAUGAUUUAGAGUUAAGAUAAAUUAAGGUCUAUUAAGAUUUAAGAAAAUAAAAUAAAAUGAUUGCCACCUACGUAAAACUUAACCUGUUGGUCUUCUGUUGGUCUCACUCAUCAGAAUACGAGACCAUUUCAGGUACCUUCACCAACCUUCAGGGAUACUUUGAAACUCUAUUUCAGUUGUCUUUCUUUAGGACAAGAAAACCUGAAUGACAUGGAUAAUUGUCUGUCAGACAAUGCAGGGGUCAAUUCGAUCACCCCUUUUUUUGAGUCAUCUUUCAUGGGAGUAGCAGUCCAGUUUAUCACCCCAUCAAAUUGCCCUUCUGCAAAUUCAUUCAUCAUAAGGAUUUAUGUUUGCUUGGUUCAGUUACCUGAAGAUUUGCAAUAUGACCCUUUUUAGGUAUUCCCCUUCAGAAUGAAGUUUUGUGCUACAGAGGAAUGUCAUAUUCCAUUUACCUCUCCCCACUUGAUAGAUUCAUGGAGAAUGAUUCAACUGAGAAUCUGCCAUCUUUGCUUAUCUUCCACUCUGUUGCAUCCAUAUAUAUGUAGUCCAAAAAGAAGUGGACUAUCUCUCACUCCCAAUCAUAAAACACCUUAACUCUAGGAUUUCAGAACCCACUGUCACUGACAAACACCAAUAAUCUGCCAACAUGGCCUCUUUGUUUCUGUAUUCUAAAUGAAUCUCAAAAAUCUCAUUACAAGCAAGAUCUCUAUGCACCAAAUCAUUCUAGAACCUCACUCCCUGCCACCACAUACUCUAUCUGUGUAAUAUUUCAAAAAAUCUUCCCAGGCUCUCCUAAUACCCAUCUGUUAGACCCUUUCAGAGUGACUUGUGGUGUGGGCUGAAUGGUGACAAUGGAGUGCUGGAAAGGCAAUUUGUCUUGCAAAAAUUGGCAGUCCAGGCUGUCCAGAUCUGCCAAUAGGACAGUUUUAGUGGUUACAUAACUGCUACAACUCCUGAAAAAUGCCAGAGGAAUGACAGAAUUUUAUUGGAGAAUUUAAAUCCUAGGUAGUUGUGAUACACCUGCCAUGUAGGUAAAUGUCAGGAUUGUCAGUGGCAGAUCCAUUCAUGGAAUCAAGUAAACUGCAGAGAUUUAGAGCCUCAUGUCUGAGCAAAGCCCAAUGCCGAAUUUCCUUGUAUAUUUCAAUGGGUUUGAAAGAAGAAAGGUUCGGCGGAGUUAGCCGAUAAAAUUCAUUGGGCCUCUUUUUUUUUAUUAUUAUUAUUAUUCAGAGAGAGAGGUUUUAUUAUUCGGAGAGAGAGGCCAGCUAAAUAAAGUGUUUACAGCUUAGCACCUCACGCAUCACAGAAAACUUGAAGUUAAAAUUAGGUUUGUGACACCCUCCACAACACUGUACUAGACCGACUCCUCACUUACCCUAAACACCAAUAUCUCUUCUCCCUACAUUCUCCCUGAAUUUAUUCAUCAUCACUCUUCUCUAUAGGUUACCCCCUACAAACAUCUACAUCCAUUACCUAACACCUUAUUAAUGACAUUAAAAUUCCUAAUGCCCAAUCUUCCUUCCUAAUAGGACAGUAACAAAAUAUUAAUAGUCCUUUAAGGGAAUUUCUUCAAACUCCUGGCACCAAGCCAUGAGCAUGAAAACAAACCUAACCUGAAGAGCCUCAAAAUAAGCCUCAAUGUCUUAGAUAUCAUUGCAUC